Molecule: long non-coding RNA, 3680 nt
Organism: Mirounga angustirostris (Northern elephant seal)
Lineage: Eukaryota; Metazoa; Chordata; Mammalia; Carnivora; Phocidae
Exons: 5
Source: RefSeq, a predicted model, not a curated record
UCUCUGAUUGACUUAUUUCCUGAGCAUUAAAUCUUUAGAAAGUUACUGAGUAGUGGCAAAAGGAAGAAAGAAAAAUGCGGUCUUAUUAGAAUUUGGAGACAGGGUUAAAUUCUCUGUCAUCCCUGUGGAAAUUUCCAAAAGGAAGAAAUAUGGGAGGUAGAUUUUUUUUUAGAGGUAGAUUUAUAAGCUAUUAUUCUUGAACUCUGAAUUUAAAAAAAUAAUAAACAAUCAAACAACACUUAUAUUCUUCCUGGUGAGGAAGACACACACUCAAAACCUAGUUGGUGAGAGAUUGGGUGUGAGUGUGAAAAUCAGACAAGAAAUGAAGAUUCCUACAAUGUUCCUGGAUUGGGUUGCCACUGACAGAUAUUAACAAAGUGAAACUGGAGGGAAGCCAUUAAAAAUGAGAUUUAGCAACAAGCUCUCCUAGGAACAUGUUGAACUGCAAGAUCCUUUGGAAUGUCAGAAAGGUGAGAUCCAAUAAGCAGUAGAGAAUUGAGUCCAGGACCCAGGUGGCAGAUACUUGCUCAUGUUCUCUGGGAAAGCAAGUAGGGGCAGAAAUCCCAUGCUGACACAGGGCUGUGUAAUGGUCUGAAAAGAUUUGGCAUAGCAGAACAAAUCUUGUACUAGAAUCUGGGGAUCUGUCUCACUGAGAGGUCUUGGACAAAAUACUCUCCCUUCCAGGGCCUAACUUCCUUGUAUGUGUGUGUUCUAGAUCAGUUUCCAAAUGGAUUUGCAUGGAAACUUAUGGGAUGUGCUGGAAAUGCAGGCACUCUUGAAUCCUGUCUUGCUUCUAUUUAAGUGACUGCUUAAAAAUCUGUCUCAUUGCUUGCUUGCUUCAUAGAAUUACAUUCAGGGAGGGGGAAAAUACCAUUUCUUAAUUAAAUAACAAUAAUGAAAAGUUUGAAAGCCACAGACCCAGGUGCUUGCUCCUGACCUGGCCAACUCUACCAUCACUAAGCCAUUUUUCUCAUUUCUGUCAUCUACUCAGAACUUGGUCACUCUAAUCAGAUGCUCCACUAUGACUUGGGAAGAAGAUCAUUUAUGCCACUGAGAAAAGUUUCCGGAGCACAUUUCAGUAUAGUAUACAUACUUCAAAUGCUGAACAAGCACUGAAAUAUGGGUGAGGUGCAAGUAUGCAGAUUUCACAAUAGCGUAAACCAAAAUUAUGGAAUUAUCUCUGAGAAAAAGAGGUGGUAUUGAAGAAUGGAAAGUAUGAAUGAGAGAGAAACAUCUUAAAAAUUAGAAAUAAUUGCAACCAGUUACUGGGAGACCAUAAGUUCUGAAACGGAAAGAUCUGGUUUUGGUCAAGAUUCUAUCACUCAUUAGCUGUCUGCUUUGGGCAAUUUGCUUAACUCCUCCAAUCUUUGAGUUUGUCCUUUUGGAAUUAACCCUAGCUUAACUCUGUAUUAACUCUAUCUUCUAGAGAGCUGAUGUCUUCACAUGAGAUGGUGUCAUCCACAUGAGAUGAUAGAGAUGAAAGUGCUAAGUAACUGGAAAUCAUUAGGCCUGGAUUAUUGAAAGAACGUUGGUUAUGUGGAUGGACAUAAUAUAUAUAGAUAUGGACACAGAAGAAUGUGUCAAGCAGAAUAUCAUGGUUAUAAUCUUAAGAAGCAUGAGACACUAUGCUAAAAUCUGGAUUUUCAAUAUAAAUAUUGGGUUUUGUUAUUGAAGUAGCAUAUCUUAGUAAAAAAAUAAUAGGAGAGAAGUAUAGAUCUAGAAUCCUGGAGAACUGGCUCUUCCAACUGUUCACUCUGUGACUAAAGAGAAAGCACUUAAUCUUUCUGUGUUUGUAGUUCCAUCUGCUAAGUAGCAGUAAUACUGGUCUGCAUAUUUCACAAGUUUUUUUAGUCACUUAACAAGCCUUCAUAGAACAUGGUAAAUUAUCUUCAAACUCUAGAAAAUGUAUUAUAGUGCUAAGUAUUCAUGUUGUGUACUACUAUACAUUUUCAAGAAAUGUUCUCAUUGCUCCUGUUUUCUAUUUCAACUUUCCCUCAUUUCAUAUAAUCUUGAAACCCUUUAUACAUGUCAUUUUAUUGUUUAUUUCUCUUCACUACACCUAUGAUUUUAUUUGGUCUCAAAUAUAGCCAUGCCGUUGUAUUUGCUAAGAAACCAGAGGAUUACUAUGCAAGACAGUUCUGGUAGGUGAGUUUCAGGGUAUAACUCUUCCAGCUGCCCAUAAAUCAAGGUAAUAAGGAAGCUUUUCUUGACAAAUAAACUUAACAUCCUAGCUUGGGUUAACAACAAAUCAUCAGUGAAAAGAUCAAUCUUGAGGAGGGUGGGACCCUGCCUUAUGCAUGUGUAUAUAUAUACGUGUAUGUGUGCCUCGGAGCAGUCACCCUCACUCCUCAUCACUAUGGAGAGUAUCACUGCUUUUGCCAUCUUUGCUCUUGUAGCCACCACAUGGGCUACGUCUCCACCUGGCGAGUUAAGACUCCUUUGAAUAGCGAUGGCUUUAUGUUAACUGCAGUUUGUUCAACCUUCAGUAACGAUAGAAUGUUAAAGUCAGAAGAAAACUUGAGACCUUAACUAUUUGGAUUGGCCUGAUUAGCAAAGAAGGGAUGGGGGGUCAGACCUUCUAGAAGAGGAAGAGAGACUGCGAAGAGGAAUAAAAAGAUAGUCAUGGGAAUAAAAGGUACAGCAUAAGGAAUAUAGUCAGCAGUACUGUAAUACUGUUUGGUGACAGAUGGGAGCUACAACAUAAUGUGGUGAGCACAACAUAAUGUAUAGACUUAAUGAAUCACUGUGUUGUACACCUGAAACUAAUGAAACAUACUGACUCGGCUAUACUUCAAUCUAAAAAAAGAAGAAGAAAAGGACUGUGGGCAACCUGCUUAGUUCCUGAUCCACACCAGGCUUCUGACUUGCCUUUCAGAAACAACUUACGCAGCUUUGAGACCUUCACCCAACCCUACCCUGGGCUUGCUCACAGGAAUUCCUGUGACAGCCCUUUCUCCAAUGACCAGGGAUUUCCCCCAUGUUGUUUUUGUUUUUGUUUUUGUUUUUUUAAUCAGAAUCACACAUAUUUCUGGCUUCAUCCUGAGUUGGCUCUGAGUAAAGAAGAGACAUCUCUUAGGUCUGGCCUGGGCCAGGGAUGGCAGAUAUGGGUUUUGGUUACUGUGAACAAUGAAUUCAGCCUUGCAUCUCUAACUGUGGAAUUUGCUCUUUCUCUGAUUCCUUCUCUUCAAAUGCUCUCAUGCCACUGUCUUCCGGUGAUCAAGUAGUGGGAAGAAAGUUAUAGGUGGACUGCUCCAAAUACAACACAAAAGGCUCUGAGAUUGCAUGCCCAAGGCACCUGGAUCCAAUAUGCGGCACAGAUCAUAAGACUUACAGUGAUGAAUGCAUGUUUUGCAUGCUAACUCGAAACAAAGGAUUUCAAGUCAGAAAACUUCAUGAUAAUAAAUGUGAUAUUGAGUGUACCCAAUAUUUGAUAUAUGUACCAUGGAAUACUUACCUCUCUGUGGAUCCGAUGGGCAGAGCUAUGCAAACAAAUUUUUAUUUUGCAAUGCUGCCGUGAAUAGUCGUGGUGCACUUUUUCUGGCAAAGCACGGACAAUGCUGAGUCUCCCUGAUGCUCAAGGGCACCGAGUUCCCUUUGGCAGCUUCCACGUAGAGAAUCAAUCCCUCUUGGAUGGCUAUGGGAGCAAAUAUAUGGAUUUCAUUCUUCAAUAAAAAAAUUCU